This 116-nucleotide ribosomal RNA is filed under the name Pteropus alecto (black flying fox). Lineage: Eukaryota; Metazoa; Chordata; Mammalia; Chiroptera; Pteropodidae. The record is from RNAcentral.
GUCUACGGCCAUGCCACCCUGAACGAGCCCAAUGUCUAAUCUUAGAAGCUAAGCAGGGUCAGUCCUGGUUAGUACUUGGAUGGGAGACCACCUAGGAAGACCAGGUGCUGUAGGCA